This 171-nucleotide ribosomal RNA is filed under the name Brevibacillus halotolerans. RNAcentral's name for it is "partial 16S ribosomal RNA". It matches the Rfam family "Bacterial small subunit ribosomal RNA", at positions 1 to 180 of the family's 1533-position model. The record is from RNAcentral. Lineage: Bacteria; Bacillati; Bacillota; Bacilli; Caryophanales; Paenibacillaceae.
UUAAUGGAGAGUUUGAUCCUGGCUCAGGACGAACGCUGGCGGCGUGCCUAAUACAUGCAAGUCGAGCGAGGGUCUUCGGACCCUAGCGGCGGACGGGUGAGUAACACGUAGGCAACCUGCCUGUAAGACUGGGAUAACAUAGGGAAACUUAUGCUAAUACCGGAUAGAGUU